ACCUCAACCUCAACCUCAACCUCAGUCACAGCCUCAGAAUGAAAUUGGAGAAGAGGAUGAAGAACUACAACGAGCAUUGGCAGCCUCUAUGGUAGGUAUAGAAGAUUCCGGUUCAGUUGCCUCUAAAGAGACUAAUGAAGCCGCCAGUGAUGUUGUAAAAGAGGAGAACUUGAUAAAGAAGCCUUCUUAUCCUCCUCUACCUGAAGAACCCAAGGGUGAAAGGAACCUUCUCUGCAGAGUUGCAAUUCGCUUUCCUGAUGGACGCAGGCUUCAAAGGAAUUUCUUACGAACCGACUCAAUUAAGCUGCUAUGGUCCUUCUGUUCUACUCAGUUUGAGGAAGCUGAGUCGAGGCCAUUCAAAUUCACCCAAGCAAUUCCAGGUGUAUCAAAGUUUUUGGAGUUCGAUAACAACAUGACCUUUGAGGAAUCCGGUCUUGCCAAUUCAAUUAUUUCAUUCACUUGGGAGUGAGCAAUGGGUUUUAGUCAUAGUUACUACUCAGUAAGGUUGUCGAUGUAAGAGGGCAUGUUCCUACUGCGCGGGUACUUUCAGCGUUAUCUACUCAUUUAAGAAAAAGAGAACAAAAAAAAAGUUACUUUCUUUGCUGUUAUUUUACUUUCAAAUAUAGUAUCUUGGCUUUGAAAUUGUAUAAGAUGGUAUGAAGUUUGUACAUUUUGCUAAACAUGUACAUAAAAUUAUGAUUAGUUCUUG
Molecule: unclassified non-coding RNA, 709 nt
Filed under: Hevea brasiliensis (rubber tree)
Lineage: Eukaryota; Viridiplantae; Streptophyta; Magnoliopsida; Malpighiales; Euphorbiaceae
Source: RNAcentral